AUGAACGCUGGCGGCGUGCCUAAUACCUGCAAGUCGAGCGCACAGAUAAGGAGCUUGCUCCUUUGACGUUAGCGGCGGACGGGUGAGUAACACGUGGGUAACCUACCUAUAAGACUGGGAUAACUUCGGGAAACCGGAGCUAAUACCGGAUAACAUUUGGAACCGCAUGGUUCUAAAGUGAAAGAUGGUUUUGCUAUCACUUAUAGAUGGACCCGCGCCGUAUUAGCUAGUUGGUAAGGUAACGGCUUACCAAGGCAACGAUACGUAGCCGACCUGAGAGGGUGAUCGGCCACACUGGAACUGAGACACGGUCCAGACUCCUACGGGAGGCAGCAGUAGGGAAUCUUCCGCAAUGGGCGAAAGCCUGACGGAGCAACGCCGCGUGAGUGAUGAAGGGUUUCGGCUCGUAAAACUCUGUUAUUAGGGAAGAACAAAUGUGUAAGUAACUGUGCACGUCUUGACGGUACCUAAUCAGAAAGCCACGGCUAACUACGUG
Molecule: ribosomal RNA, 496 nt
Filed under: uncultured bacterium
Lineage: Bacteria
Description: partial 16S ribosomal RNA
Rfam family: Bacterial small subunit ribosomal RNA
Source: RNAcentral